This 470-nucleotide ribosomal RNA is filed under the name uncultured bacterium. RNAcentral's name for it is "partial 16S ribosomal RNA". It matches the Rfam family "Bacterial small subunit ribosomal RNA", at positions 28 to 507 of the family's 1533-position model. The record is from RNAcentral.
GACGAACGCUGGCGGCGUGCUUAACACAUGCAAGUCGAACGGUGAACGAGGGAGCUUGCUCCCUCCGGAUCAGUGGCGAACGGGUGAGUAACACGUGAGCAAUCUGCCCCGAACUCUGGGAUAAGCGUUGGAAACGACGUCUAAUACCGGAUACGACGCGGGAUGGCAUCCUCUCCGCGUGGAAAGAACUUCGGUUCGGGAUGAGCUCGCGGCCUAUCAGCUUGUUGGUGAGGUAACGGCUCACCAAGGCGACGGAGGGUAGCCGGCCUGAGAGGGUGACCGGCCACACUGGGACUGAGACACGGCCCAGAAUCGUACGGGAGGCAGCAGUGGGGAAUAGUGCACAAUGGGGGCAAGCCUGAUGCAGCAACGCCGCGUGAGGGACGACGGCCUUCGGGUUGUAAACCUCUUUUAGCAGGGAAGAAGCGAAAGUGACGGUACCUGCAGAAAAAGCACCGGCUAACUACGUG